GAUGAACGCUGGCGGCGUGCUUAACACAUGCAAGUCGAACGGAAAGGCCCUGCUCUUGCGGGGUGCUCGAGUGGCGAACGGGUGAGUAACACGUGAGUAACCUGCCCCUGUCUUUGGGAUAACUUCAGGAAACUGGGGCUAAUACCGCGUAGGAGCUCCUGCUGCAUGGUGGUGGUUGGAAAGUUUCGGCGGUUGGGGAUCGACUCGCGGCUUAUCCGCUUGUUGGUGUGGUAGUGGCUUACAAAGGCUUUGACGGGUAGCCGGCCUGAGAGGGUUACCGGCCACAUUGGGACUGAGAUACGGACCAGACUGCUACGGGAGGCAGCAGUGGGGAAUAUUGCGCAAUGGGCGGAAGCCUGAUGCAGCAACGCCGCGUGCGGGAUGACGGCUUACGGGUUGUAAACCGCUUUCGCCUGUGACGAAGCGUGAGUGACGGUAAUGGGUAAAGAAGCACCGGCUAACUACGUG
This 468-nucleotide ribosomal RNA is filed under the name uncultured bacterium. Its description in RNAcentral is "partial 16S ribosomal RNA". It matches the Rfam family "Bacterial small subunit ribosomal RNA", at positions 28 to 507 of the family's 1533-position model. The record is from RNAcentral.